UACGUAGGGGGCAAGCGUUGUCCGGAUUUAUUGGGUUUAAAGGGUGCGUAGGCGGCCCUGUAAGUCAGUGCUGAAAUAUCCCGGCUUAACCGGGAGGGUGGCAUUGAUACUGCAGGGCUUGAGUGAAGUCGAGGUAGGCGGAAUUGACGGUGUAGCGGUGAAAUGCUUAGAUAUCGUCAAGAACACCGAUAGUGAAGACAGCUUACUAGGCUUAUACUGACGCUGAGGCACGAAAGUGUGGGGAUCAAACAGG
Molecule: ribosomal RNA, 253 nt
Filed under: uncultured bacterium
Lineage: Bacteria
Description: partial 16S ribosomal RNA
Rfam family: Bacterial small subunit ribosomal RNA
Source: RNAcentral